ACCGGCGCAGCGGCUGACCUGG
This 22-nucleotide microRNA is filed under the name Bos taurus (domestic cattle). RNAcentral describes it as "bta-miR-10170-5p". Lineage: Eukaryota; Metazoa; Chordata; Mammalia; Artiodactyla; Bovidae. The record is from miRBase by way of RNAcentral.